Molecule: long non-coding RNA, 2182 nt
Filed under: Fragaria vesca (wild strawberry)
Lineage: Eukaryota; Viridiplantae; Streptophyta; Magnoliopsida; Rosales; Rosaceae
Description: long non-coding RNA (FVES_LNC004750)
Source: RNAcentral
ACUCAUCGGAGGAAGGCGAAGAAGAUGGUGGCUACGGUAUAUGGUGAGUCCACCCCGAUGGUCGGAGAUCGGUGAUAGAGGAGAGAUUCCUCUAGAUCCACUGUCUAUCUCCUCCAGAAUUUUCGUUAUACUUUUCUCUGUUCUCUGUGAGGACGACCGAUGCUCGAUCUAUGGGUUUUGGCCUUCCAGGAUCUAAUUGGGUGGGGUUUUGAAUCCCUAAUUCGUCAUCUCAGCCCUAGUUUCUCAUAAAUGUCUGUGAUUUAUAAGGUAUCUUGGUGAGUUAUUUGCUUCUUAUUAUUUCUCUUGGUUCCGAUUACUGCUGCAUUUUUUGUAUGUAUGUUGUUCAUGUUUAUUAGCCGUUGUUUGGAUUCAGCUGAAAAAUACAUGUAUUAGUGUUAAGGUGUUAAUUUGGUGUGGAUUGCUCUGAAUUUAUUCUUUGUUAAGAUAGAAUUGUGCUUUGUGAAAAUUGUGAUUUUACCUGUUGUCUACUACAAACCCAAGUUUGUUUCUUGGUGUUUAAACCCUUAGCCUUAAAGAGUAUAUUCCAGGUUUUAGUGUGUUAUGUUUGUGAGGGCUCUGAUUGUUUUGUGUAUUUUGGAAUAAUAUAGGUCAGUUUGACACAAUGAAGGAGAAUGGUAGGUCAUAAGAUCGACCGUAUAAAAUUCUGGAGGUGAAGACAUGCUUUCCACCUCUGUCAUAAUUCUUUCCAAUAAUUUAGCAUCAAUCCUCUUAUUAUUAGUAAGAUCCAACACCAUCCGUACGAAUAGCUUCUAGAGCCUAUAAAAAGUUAACAACAAUAGAAAAACUUAGAAGUGAUUGAAGAAUAGCAUGGACUGCCUAGCGUGCUAUUGAGCAGUGAACAACAUAAAGACAUUAUGGACCAUAUAUAUGAUUAUUUGCCUGAUUACUUUCUAACUACCUGCUUCUUCAUAUUUCUUUGAUGCUUAUAAGUUUUCUUUUUAUUUCAUAUGGUGUCUCUGUCAUCAUCCAAAAAAGCUAAGACUCACACAGACCACCAAGUUUAUCUCAUGUGAAAAUAUAUAUUUAUAUACAUAUGUAACAUUUAUACUUUUUUGAGGGAAAGCACUUUCCUGAGCAACAUUUCCAACAUCUAAAGCAACAUGGCUGUAGUUCUCCCACAGUUGAUAGCUGUUUCGUCUGUCACCAGUCAUAGAAAGUGUCAAUAAAUAAAAUGAAGUAAAAGGGGAGGGAUGCAACUAUAAAUAGAGAGAAUGAGUGUGUGCGUGAGUGACAGUUUGAUUAAUGGAGAAGGAACCAACUUGAACUUCAGCGCUUCUGUAAAUGCAAUGAAAGCUUCUUUACUCUUCCCUUUUAUCAUAUGCCUGCAUAAUUGGUACAACAAGAGUUUAAAGAUUGUUGAAAUGAGCUGCUAGAAUACAAAAUUAUUAACUGUUGAGCUAAUGAGCUUUUACUUGUUUUUGGGUUCAAUUUCAAAACCCAGGUAUGAAACCCUGACUACCCACUUCAUUUCUCUACUAUUUUCCUCUAUUUCAGUUUGUGUUCUUCAAUGAAUAAGUUGGGCUGAAAAUUAUUAUAUACUAUGUAAUGUGUUUGGGUAACUUUGUCUGCUUUUCUUAUGUAGCUUCCACUACUGAUCACAACGUAUUUGACCAACUCCAUUUCUUCCACUACUUCAUUUCUUCCAUUACCAAGCUUGCGAGACAUAAGCACGAAAAGAAGUGAGUAUCCCUCACAUUUAUAUAUGAUAGUAUAUUCAUUUGAGUUUGAGAUUUACAGAUGCAAUUGGUAUGCAAAUAUUAAGAUUUUACAUGUUGAGGUGAAUUCAUAAGAUCUUCUGCAAUUGGUACAUACAUAUUAAGAUCAUAAAGAAUAUGCUAAUAAGAUACUUCAAUGAGGUGAAUUCAGUUUUUGUGUAGCGCCUCUUUGUUUCGCUAUCUUUGCAUAUCUCUCUCUUAGCGAUAGAGCCACAUUGGAAUUUACUUCUAUAAUAUAUAUGUGUAUGUUAUACCAGUCAUAUGACUUGCUUGCUACUUUAAUUUGAUUCUUAUUUACGAAAUUCGCAGGUUAGAUAAUUGGCUGAUAUGGUAGAUAUGUACAAUGAAGAUCUUUACACCCUGCCUAAUAAGGAACUAUCUUGUGGUGUUAUAGCAAGUUGAGUGCUCUACAACUGCAGUUUAUUGUUUUUAACUAUUCAAAUCAG